CUAGAAUGUUUUCAGCAGUCACUGAAAGAAAAACGGACUCAUAGAGGCUGAAAACAGUCUUCAGAUGUGAAACUUUCUCAUGAAAAGAGUGGCUGUGCCGUUUUGUGUUCCCAUGAGCAGUGAAUGAGAGUUCCUGUUGCUCCACGUGCUUGUCAACUUUUGGUGUUGUCCGUGCUUUGAAGUUUAGCCAUUCUAACAGGUCUCAAAAUCAAGAGAAGCCACAUUUAGACCUUGUGUAGGGACUAUCACAUGUUCCUGGACUUGGACCCUGGUGCCGUGAUUAGAUGAGACUUUUGGGUGCCCUCCUUUCUUCUAAAAGCGAAAAAUGAAACACACUUUGUUAAAUUGAUGAAGGAGGAAAGAAACAUUGUAUGUUGGGGAGCAGAGGACAGACGCUCUGAAACCUCCCAUGAGGUUUCCAUGGGAACCUCAACCUGGCCUGGGAGGUUAUUCAGACACUGAAGAAAACUUUUGAUGCACUGAGACCAUGAACCGAGAAAACUUGGAAGCCUCUGGUCUGGACUGAAUGUGGAGUUGUGGUCUAUCUGAAUGUAGACUAUACCUGAUGGAUGUAACUCUUAUGGUGGAGAUGAGAUUGUUCUACUCUCUUUAAUGUUGAUAAACAACGGAUUCACACAACUAACUUCUCCUAGUUCCGGUUCCUCGGCACCAAAUUCAGGUUCCAUGUCAGCUUCCUUCAGGGGAAGGUUGCUCUGGUCUGAGAACUCUGGUGCUCAGCUACUUAGCACCUGUACCAUUAAUUAUAAAUUAAUAAGCAAGUACUUUUGUUAUAGUUAUAUUUCCCUCACAGCUUUCCUAAAUAAAGAGAAUGAACUUCUUGGAGGAUAUGAGAGCCAUAAAAAUUCCUCAUUAUAAAUUAACACUGUGGCAUUCUUUUUUUCUUUUCCUAAAGAUUGGCACCUAAGCUAACAACUGUUGCCUAUCUAUUUUUUUUUUCCUUUUCUGCUUUUUCUCCUCAAAUCCCCCCAGCACAUAGUUGCAUAUUUUACUUGUGGAUCCUACUAGUUGUGGCAUGUGGGAUGCUGCCUCAGCACAGCCUGAUAAGCGGUGCCAUGUCUGUGCCCAGGAUCCGAACCAACGAAAUCGCGGGGCGCUGAAGAGCCGUGCAUGAACUUAACCACUUGGCCACGGGUCCGGCCCCUGUGGCAUUCUGAUUAUACAUCAAUCUCAAGACAGUCCUGAAAGUCUAUGGCUGGUGGGAUGACAGAUAUUUCUGAGCUUGGAAGGCUGAGAAUCAGAUUCUGGUCCUUAGCAUUUCAAUAGGAUAAUGGUGCAAUUCUGUGAGGCUUCUUGGAAAACAACAGUCUAGCUUGCUCCAGGUGCUAUCUCCUGAUUUUUUUCCAUUUUAGCAUAAUCUGGAGCCAGACUACCUGGAUUCAAAUCUUGUCUCCACCACCAGCUAGUUGUGUCACCUUAGGUGAAUUACUCAACCUCUCGGCACUUCAGUUUUCUCAUCUAUAAAAUGUGGAUGAUCUCCCAGCAAUUCAGAGUGUGACUGCACAUGUAAAGACAUCUCCUUCACUAUCAGAAGCAUUUUGGGGCUGGACUAAGGAUCAUGGUGACUUAGCUUCGAAAGUAGCCCAUGAAUGGACUUUGUCAACAAUUAUAAAACAUUCCUGUCAACUGUGGGGAAGGGCUUUCUAUAGAAAGGAAAGGAGGAUGUGUGGUUUUAUAUUAAAAACAAAACAAAACAAAAAUAAAAUGGGGAUAAUGAUAACUACUUUAAAAGGUAGUUGUGGGGAUUAAGUGAAAUAAUACGUUUUAAGUUCCUAUAACAUGCCUGGCACAUCCUAAACCCUGAAUAAAUACUACUUCUUAUUUUUAUUGUUCUUGUUUUUAACAUUAUGAUUGCUAUUCUUGGUCAUGUGUGCCUUAUUUCUUUAAUUUUGCAAACUUUUACAUUAUCCAUGUCUACACUUAACAUUAAAAAUGAAAGCUGGAUGUUUCAUGAAAGUCCUGGCUUCAAUUCAAGUCUGGGAGUGUGGACAAGUCAGUAAUACCACACAUAUUCCAUUUGCUCAUCUAUAUUUGCAUGGUCCCCCACGGUUGGGGAGAGCCUUGUGGCUAGUUCUGGCCAAUUAAAUGUGAAUGAAAGUGAUGUGUGUCACUUCUAGGUGAGACUAUAAAAUGGGCUUUUUUAUGUGAUUUUCCAGUCUUCUCUUCCCCUGCCUCAGCAAAUAGGGAGAACUUGCUUUCCAGGAGGUGUAGCUAUGAGAUAGUGGUGCCUCUAUCAACCUGGAUCCCUUUAUAAAUUGGUAGAGUAGAGCCACCUGCCAACUUACUUUGGAUAUGCACUAUGAUCAAGAAAUAAAUACCUGAUUUGUUAAGCCACUGAGAUUUCCCAGUUUAGCUAUUCCACACGAUAAUCUAAACUAAUACAGUGGGUGUAAAUGACCACCAGGUACUUACUUCCUAAUCUUGAGCUAAUAUCAAGUGAAUAAAAUUAUAUUUAUAAAUACUUGCUGAAAAAACUGAAAGUAUAUGGGCCAGCCUGGUGGCUCAGCAGUUAAGUUCACAUGAUCUGCUUCAGUGGCCCAGGGUUCUCUGGUUCGGAUCCUGGGCACGGACCUACACACUACUCAUCAAGCCAUGCUGUGGCAGGCGUCCCACAUAUGAAGGUAGAGGAAGAUGGGCACGGGUGUCAAGUCAGGGCCAGUCUUCCUCAGCAAAAAGAGGAUUGGCAGCAGAUGUUAGCUCAGGGCUAAUCUUCCCCCCAAAAAACAUACACACAAAAAACUAAAAGUAUAGCAGACCCCGGUUCUGACUUAGGGUCUCUAGUGAAGUUGCAGACAGAUGUCUGCUGGGGUUCUGGUCAUCUGUUAAGAUCUACCAGUCUAGCUGUCUAGUAGAGCUCAUCAACACAAUGUAGUUGAUGCUGACUUUUACUGAUUUGGAGCUUUUGAC
This is a long non-coding RNA of Equus asinus (donkey), 2925 nucleotides long. The record is from Ensembl. NCBI's taxonomy places the organism in Eukaryota, Metazoa, Chordata, Mammalia, Perissodactyla, Equidae.